This 468-nucleotide ribosomal RNA is filed under the name uncultured bacterium. RNAcentral's name for it is "partial 16S ribosomal RNA". It matches the Rfam family "Bacterial small subunit ribosomal RNA", at positions 28 to 507 of the family's 1533-position model. The record is from RNAcentral.
GACGAACGCUGGCGGCGUGCUUAACACAUGCAAGUCGAACGGAAAGGCCCUGCUUUUGUGGGGUGCUCGAGUGGCGAACGGGUGAGUAACACGUGAGUAACCUGCCCUUGACUUUGGGAUAACUUCAGGAAACUGGGGCUAAUACCGGAUAGGAGCUCCUGCUGCAUGGUGGGGGUUGGAAAGUUUCGGCGGUUGGGGAUGGACUCGCGGCUUAUCAGCUUGUUGGUGGGGUAGUGGCUUACCAAGGCUUUGACGGGUAGCCGGCCUGAGAGGGUGACCGGCCACACUGGGACUGAGAGACGGCCGAGGCUGCUACGGGAGGCAGCAGGGGGGAAUAUUGCACAAUGGGCGGAAGCCUGAUGCAGCAACGCCGCGUGCGGGAUGACGGCCUUCGGGUUGUAAACCGCUUUCGCCUGUGACGAAGCGUGAGUGACGGUAAUGGGUAAAGAAGCACCGGCUAACUACGUG